AGAGUUUGAUUAUGGCUCAGAAUCAACGCUGGCGGCGUGCCUAACACAUGCAAGUCGAACGAGAAAGGGACUUCGGUCCUGAGUAUAGUGGCGUACGGGUGAGUAACACGUGAAUGAUCUACCUCCGAGUGGGGAAUAACUGAGAGAAAUCUUGGCUAAUACCGCAUAACACUUACGAGUCAAAGCAGUAAUGCGCUUGGAGAGGAGUUCGCGGCAGAUUAGUUAGUUGGCGGGGUAAUGGCCCACCAAGACGAUGAUCUGUAUCCGGCCUGAGAGGGCGCACGGACACACUGGAACUGAAACACGGUCCAGACUCCUACGGGAGGCAGCAGUGGGGAAUUUUGCGCAAUGGGGGAAACCCUGACGCAGCAACGCCGCGUGGAGGAUGAAGUAUCUUGGUACGUAAACUCCUUUCGAUGGGGAAGAUAAUGACGGUACCCAUAGAAGAAGCCCCGGCUAACUUCGUGCCAGCAGCCGCGGUAAUACGAGGGGGGCAAGCGUUGUUCGGAUUUAUUGGGCGUAAAGGGUGCGUAGGCGGUUUGGCAAGUCUUAUGUGAAAUCUAUGGGCUCAACCCAUAGUCUGCAUGAGAAACUACCGAGCUUGAGUAUGGGAGAGGUGAGUGGAAUUUCCGGUGUAGCGGUGAAAUGCGUAGAUAUCGGAAGGAACACCUGUGGCGAAAGCGGCUCACUGGACCAUAACUGACGCUGAUGCACGAAAGCUAGGGGAGCAAACAGGAUUAGAUACCCUGGUAGUCCUAGCCCUAAACGAUGAUCGCUUGAUGUGGCAGUACCCAAUCCUGCCGUGUCGAAGCUAACGCGA
This 820-nucleotide ribosomal RNA is filed under the name uncultured bacterium. RNAcentral describes it as "bacterial SSU rRNA". It matches the Rfam family "Bacterial small subunit ribosomal RNA", at positions 8 to 860 of the family's 1533-position model. The record is from RNAcentral.